RNAcentral lists this small RNA (300 nucleotides) under Monstera deliciosa (tarovine). RNAcentral's name for it is "putative TAS3". The record is from RNAcentral. Lineage: Eukaryota; Viridiplantae; Streptophyta; Magnoliopsida; Alismatales; Araceae.
GGUGCUAUCCUAUCUGAGCUUUCCCUCCUCCUCCCUGUAACCCCUUCUCCUCUACUACUACCCUUAUCCUUCUUCAUGCCUCUUUCCCCCGCUCUGCCGCGACGUCUCCGGAGUGCUCAUCUUCUUGACCUUGUAAGACCUUUUCUUGGCCUUGUAAGACCCCACCCCGUCGUCGUCGCCUCAAUCCUUUGCCCCUUUUCGCCCUUCGCCAUGCCCGGUUCCCGUCGGGACCACGGCCCCUUCCCUCCCUCCUCCUCACCCGGCCCGCAUUUUCUUCUACUGUCUAUCCCUCCUGAGCUA